RNAcentral lists this long non-coding RNA (246 nucleotides) under Elaeis guineensis (African oil palm). Its description in RNAcentral is "long non-coding RNA (EGUI_LNC053059)". The record is from RNAcentral. Lineage: Eukaryota; Viridiplantae; Streptophyta; Magnoliopsida; Arecales; Arecaceae.
UCAUGCCCAAAGAGGAAGGACUCUUGCUCUGUUUCUCACGCACAGAAGCCUACUCCCUCUUUGUUUCAUGCCCACACUAUCUCAAAAGAAGUUUUUCAUGAUAAAAACCAAUCCCUUUGUCACACAAAAGGGAGAAGAAUUUAAGGCGGCAUGGAGAUGGGAUAGGAUAAGGAUGAGGUGGUUCGAAUUAGUUCGAAUUCAAAUCAUUUUGAAUUCAAACUGUUGGGUAUAAAAUACCCGCGGCCA